CAGCUCCUCUCUGUAUAUUGUUUGAUUUUUUCAUGUUCAAUUCAACUUUCGCUAAAAGAACUUCAAAAUCGAGCAGGGAUUGCUUGAUUUGUAGCCAAUGAUUUAAUUGUUCAUACUAUUUUGGUGUCUAGAAAUAGUAGUAAAACUACUAAUAUCGUAUUAGGGGCUACAACGCAGCAUGUAUUGUUUGUUUGAAUUAAUUUAUUUUCAUUGUAAUAGAGAGGAAGCAGUGAGUUUUGCUGGGGUUUUUUCCUGAAGGAAUCGUGGUUUCUUUCAGGCCAUCUCCAUGGUAACACAGGGCCAGGGUUUUGGUGUAAGUAGCUCUAAAAUAUUAAUUAGACUGGUGAAUCUGACGGUUAUAGUGCUCCAUUCAAUUAUGAUUCACUAUCGCCACUAUAUCAGAUGGAAGGUUUACAGUUUGGAGAUUGGAGCAUCCAAGAUAUUAUAUCAUAUUGUUCAUGAAAAGUUAUGCAAUAAGAAGUUAAGAACCACCCGAUAAUAUGGAAUCGCUGUAUGCCUUUUUACAGCAACUAGCAAGGAGCAAAAUAAUAUUUUUGAUGUUGCUUUGACUAAUUAAGUGAGGUCCUAACUUAAGUUGGCUAAUUUCUUUCAUACCCAUUAUAUGAUUGGCAUGUCCUAUUUCUCUCUUGGUUUCUUCUUCUUUCUUUUGUUGCUUCUUUGGAAUUUUGUUGGUGUAUUUUGGCUAUUUGUUGAGUGUUUGGUGCUUGGUUUUCAGUUGUUCACUUUCUUUUUCUUCCCCUUCUUUGAUUUUUCUUUUGGAUGAUCUUCUCCUAAUAGACACCAUAUGGUUUUUGUGUUGUUUCCUAGGUACAGAUUUUGGUGUCAAUUCCUGGACCUUGCUGCCUGCAUGGCCAUCGGCAUAGCCAACCCGACGUGCCGGCGUUUAGCGCGGAUGGCCAGAUCUAUGCGGCAGAGAGCAUGGCCGAUGCUGGAAGGGAGGUCUUGCCGCCGGCCUCCAAGCAGUCGGUAGGCACAAUGGAUCCUAAAGCUCCAGGCUGGAUCAAAAGGGUGAGGAUUUGGGAGGAAGCCCCUGUUUAGACACCUUGUCCCAGUCAAGCACGAGCCGACGGCGGUGACACUGCAUAUGUUAUCCAGGAUCAUGCUCAACGGUUGUGUCAUCGGCGACAAGAUCCACAAGAUGCCAUGGCGGUGGUUGCCCCGGGUGUUAAUGUAGAGGGCAGGAACCAGUAGCAGGUGAGGAUACUAUGCAAUUUCGCUGUGAAUCAUUGUUAAUUAUUGGUCGUACUUCUUGUGCUCUGAAGAUUUGAUUCCACUCGUCUUGAUACACAAAAAGAGUUUGUUUCAUGAAUUCAAAAGAUACUGAAAUUAAAGGUUCGGCUUAUAUUUGGGGAGCAGACUCUUUUUGAAAAUCGACAUCUGAAUGUAAAUAAAUGCCCUUGGUAUGUUCUGAUUCCUAUCAUCCAUUGUUGCAAAUUUCUUCUAACCCAAUAUAUCAGUUUCUUAUCUUCUUUCGGUUCACCUUCACUCAUCCUGACAUUCAUCACCAUAAAAUAUUUUACAUACAAUUAUCUUUACAUUGUUAGCCUGCUUUUUUGUUUGUUUCACAAGCUUGAAAUAUUCUACAAUGCUCAUACUGAUGUAGAACCCUCCAAGUUUUCAAGUAUUUUAGUUUCCUAUUUUUGCAAUGUAGAAUGUCUCAUGAUACAUUUUCUUCUGCGAUCUUAUUUAGGUGAGCACCAAGAUCUCUGAAACUUUUUCUUCAAAAUACAGUAACCAAGCUGCGUUUGUUUCGUGCACAUACAUAAAUGGAUGGCUCUUCUUCUUGGAACCCCAAGUUGUGGGAAAAAACCCCUAUUGCUACCACUUGCAGGAAAGCUCAACCAAAACCAAGAGGUAUUUUUAUUUUUCUUCACUUCAACCAAGUCAGUCAUGUACAAUGAGCAGCACUCAAACCACAAAAUGAUUUGCAUCCCAUUAUUUUUUCCAAAUUUUCAAUUUUAUGACCUGCAUUCUAAAUAAAACAUAGCUCAUAGCUCAAUUUUAUGCAUAAUUUCUCCUGGCAGAUGUACAUAUUUAUCCCCACAAGGCCACAAGACACAACUGUGUGUUGUAGGUAGCAUCAGAAAUUGAGUUGAAUGGGAUCAAGAUGGAGCGGUUUGUUUCCAAAAGGCACCACCUCUUUAAUUUUCUGCUGGACAAGCGGAUAACAUGCUCCGGUCCAAUUCGUGAUUGGUGUUGAUGCAUCUCUAAAUAAUCUAAUCAUUCUGUUUUGCUAGCUUGUGCCAUGCAUGUCAGUGAGUUCUAAUGUUUUUUGUACUCUUAUCAUGUUAUGUGUGUGUUUGUCUGAACUGCUAUGAGAUGGGCCAGUGGCAGGGUAACCAGAAUGGGUCUUUUUGCCUGUACAGUUCUUAUAGGAUUAUCCUUACUAUAUGUUUGAGUAAAACAACUCAAGUUCAUGUUUAUACUCGGUACAAAUUAAAUAUGAGAUGUGCUUUCGAAUCUGCAUGCGUGUUGAUCAAGACACGGCCCAGCAUGGACGUUUAAAACACAUGCAAUCAGAUUAUCUCGAUGUAACUCAUUAGGAUGCUUCUGAUCUCUUUUCAACUAAAAAAAUGCAAUGGUGUACCGUGUACAUAUAUCAUGGAUUAUGUGCUUGUCUACUAAUGGUGAUGUUGACAUGGUAUACUGUCUAUUCUCCCUACUCAAUUGGCUGUGCUCAUAUCAAUGUAGGCUAACUAAAGAAUUUAAGAUGCUCAUAUCUAUGGAUUUGAAGCUAACUAAAAAGUUUUAGAUGUUCAUAUGUGGUGUCUGUUUGAUGAGAAAAAUAAAAAAAAAUAGACAGCAAGACAUGUGUUGUUGCUUUGUAUAACUUGGCAAAGAAGGUUUACGAAGGUCAAAUAGCUGGCUGUUGGGUGUGGCUUUCAUAGUAGUUAUUUUUAUAAAAUGUUAAAUAGGCACCAAAUGUUCUGAUCCACCUGCUUACCCACGAAAAGGCUCUCCAGCCAUAGAGUUCUGUAAAAAAAGGCACACCAGCCUGGUUGUUUCCUGAAAUUUGAUAGUGCCGAGAUCAUCCAGAAAGAACCCUAUCCCCUCCCCCGCCGCCACCCGCGAGGUGUCGGGGAGGGGGCUCCAGAUCUCCGCCGCUAGCACCCCCUCCUCCCUCCUCCACCCUUGCCGCCGCCAAAGGACGCCGGUGGCAGCGGGGCCCCUACCUCCCCCGCGCGUGGGGUAUGUCACGGGUGAGAUCUCGCAGGCGGGGACGCGGCGCUCGGUGCCGGGCGCAGCGGCGCUCAAGAGUAGGACGGUGAUGGCGGCAGGCGGCAUGGUGGUGAUGCGGGCCUAUGGAUGGCGUCGACGGCGGUUGCUUCCGGCAGCGCCUCAGCGUCGCAUCCGGCGCCGCGGGUCGCGGGCAGCCCUCUCGCCGUGGAUCUCUGGUGUGUGUGUGUGUGGGGGGGGGGGGGGGGGGGGGGGGGGGGGGGGGGGGGGGGGGGGGGGGGGGUUGGAGCUGGCACGGGCGCCGGUCGUGGCCAUGAGCCACUUCCCCGCCUCCCCUUUCCCCCGGUCGAUGUAUGGCCGCGGCCCUUCUCGAGUCAGGUUUGCCGCCGGCUGCUCUGGAGGUGGUUGGGGUCCCGGAUCUGGGCAAGUUGUGGCCUUUGGUGGCUCUCGGGGUGGUCUCAUGGCAGUGCGGCGGCCCUGGCCGUGGGAGCUGAGUUGGUCGUGGGCGGAUUGCAUGGCUCGGCUACAGACAGGCAACCAUGGCCGCUCGGGCGGCAUGGCUGCGGGUGGUUGGCGGACUGGGGUUACGGCGGAGGGGUUGAAGCACCGCGGUCCAUCACCUACCCAGUCCGUGCACUGGUUGGUGAUGGCGUCCGUGGACGACGUGUUCCUCCUUGCAGGCUCCGUCGUGGUGCUUCUACUCCUUCCGUCUUACUCCGGGUGAAAACUUGAUCUUCGGAUCGGACAGUGACGAUGUUCGUGGUCGUGCCCUUCCUGGAGGCACCGUCUUGGAGUCCUCGGUCCGACGUGUCCGUCGCACAUCCUCCCAGACGAUCGCUCCUCAUGGUGGUAGUCUCCAUCGGCUCUAAGCGGAUCUGUUUUGCACAUCUUAUAGGUGCUUCAUAGUUGUUGAGGUUGUGUGUCGGUGCCCGGCAUUCGUGUAUCUUGCCUUGGCUGUGUGUGGCGUGCGUUUGUAUCGGAUGCUUCGAUGUUGUGUUGGUGCUUUAUAAUAUAAAUAAAGGGGGGAAACCCUUUUUCGUAAAUUUGAUUGUGCCCAAGGAUACAUUGAUUUGCAUACAAUUCUUCAAACAAUUGUAGACCAAGGAUACAAUUGAUGAAAAUCUUCAGAAAACUGCAAGACAUGCUUUUUGAAGAAAGAAGUUAAGAAGAUUAGUCACUGCCACAACAUGUGUUCAGAAAAAUACAACUUCGCUGACACCUGUUGCCUAUAAAAUUGAGCUCACCAUGAUUAAUUCCUUUCUUUCAAGUCGAUAGUCUGUUCAAAAAUAUGAUUCAGCAUAUAAAAGCAUAGUUUUACUAUUCUGUUGCUUUCCUUUUUUUGUAUGAUAUGGUAGAUUGUUAAUUUGGGUCUCGCUCAUACACAUUAUCUCUUUCCCUAUCUGUGAUAUCUAAUUUAGACCAUGUUAUUCCACAGGUAAUACAAAAGCAUUGUAUUUGCUUGGUCCAGUAUGUCAGCCUACCUCGCUCACUUUCCUUUCAAAACACUCAAAUUUGGUGACUGAAACUUGGAUGUGCAAAACAUUCUGCUUUGUUUACAUUUAGGAAUAACCUUGUUGUCUAUGCUACCUUCACUGGUGGUUCACAGCACCAAUCCUCACAUAUGCUCCUGCACACAACUGUUCUAAUUGAAAAUGCUUUUCAUGAUUUCUUCUUCAUGCCUGCCCAGCUAUCAGGCUCCUUAUUUUGGUUUCACUUACAGUGCUGUUUAUUUUCAUUUAGGAGCUCAUUUCUUAUGAUCUCAUUUGUAUAUACCCUUAAUCAGCCAAUUGAUUGAUUGCACUUCCUUUUAUUGCUCAGAUAAGGCUGCAUGGCGCCACCACGCCCGCUCAAGACGACUGUGGCCGGGUAUCGAGCCGCCAACACUGAUCUUAUAUUUCUUAUGUGAUCGUGCUUCUCUGUCCCGAGGUCACCCGGGUCCGAUGUGCCAAAAAGGACAGCAAGGGAACAACAACACGUCCUUCCCCUCUUCACCAAGAUAAUCUCACCCGUCUUGCUUCACUUUUGCAACGGGCAGUCGUUGCUGCCACAUGGAGCUCUAGAGUAGUCAGUCUAGAUUCAACUAGAGUUGCAAGUGUACCAUUGUCCAGUAUAGCUACCUUUUCUGAUAGAUUUUAGACUUCUUAUCCUGUAUUAGUUUAACGGCUGGCUAACUUUUGUUUCUUGUCAUGUUGCUAUCCAGUGUUAAUUUAUCUGUCCACCAA
Molecule: non-coding RNA, 5420 nt
Organism: Triticum urartu
Lineage: Eukaryota; Viridiplantae; Streptophyta; Magnoliopsida; Poales; Poaceae
Source: RefSeq, a predicted model, not a curated record